RNAcentral lists this ribosomal RNA (468 nucleotides) under uncultured bacterium. RNAcentral describes it as "partial 16S ribosomal RNA". It matches the Rfam family "Bacterial small subunit ribosomal RNA", at positions 28 to 507 of the family's 1533-position model. The record is from RNAcentral.
GACGAACGCUGGCGGCGUGCUUAACACAUGCAAGUCGAACGGAAAGGCCCUGCUUUUGUGGGGUGCUCGAGUGGCGAACGGGUGAGUAACACGUGAGUAACCUGCCCCUGACUUUGGGAUAACUUCAGGAAACUGGGGCUCAUACCGGAUAGGAUCUCCUGCUGCAUGGUGGGGGUUGGAAAGUUUCGGCGGUUGGGGAUGGACUGGCGGCUUAUCAGCUUGUUGGUGGGGUAGUGGCUUACCAAGGCUUUGACGGGUAGCAGGCCUGAGAGGGGGGACGGCCACAUUAGGCCUGAGAUACGGCGCAGUCGCCAACCUGAGGCAGCGGGGGAGAGUAUUACACAGUGGGCGGAAGCCUGAUGUAGCAACGCCGCGUGCGGGAUGACGGGCUUCGGGUUGUAAACCACUUUCGCCUUAGACGAGGCGUUAGUGACGGUAACGGGUAAAGAAGCACCGGCUAACUACGUG